AUGUAUUAGGGGUAGUCGAUAUUUAAUCUUCUACUCUAGGUAUAUGUGCCAGAGUAGAAAAAGAUUCAUGAUGAAUUUGGAUUUAGUUUAACGACUUUACGGUCGUUUGAAUUUGGAUUUAGUUUAAUGAUGUUUCGGUCGUUUGAAUUUGAAAUUAGUUUAACGACUUUACGGUCGUAUGAAUUUGGAUUUAGUUUAACGACUUUAUGGUCGUUUGAUCUUAGGUUUAGUUUAACGACUUUACAGUCGUUUAGAUUUGAGAGGCUUUGGAUUUCAGGGUUUUAUUUGUGGACUUUAGGUUUUGGGCUUUAUUUAUGGGCUUUAGGUUUUGGGAUUUUAUUUGUGGACUUUAGGUUUUGGGAUUUUAUUUGUGGACUUUAG
RNAcentral lists this long non-coding RNA (381 nucleotides) under Ananas comosus (pineapple). RNAcentral describes it as "long non-coding RNA (ACOM_LNC024565)". Lineage: Eukaryota; Viridiplantae; Streptophyta; Magnoliopsida; Poales; Bromeliaceae. The record is from RNAcentral.